UUUCUUCUUUUUACUAGGUAAAUACUGCUUACAUAUUUAAGAUGAUUUUUAAAAGGUAACAAACAAAACCCCCCAAACCUUAGUUAGGGACUGGGAUUCUAUUUGGGCGUCCUGUUUCUCCCCUUCCCUCUCUACCUGUCCUUCCUACCUACCCUGCCAAAGCUGCUCUGAGACAAGUCUGUAUAUAGUCCCAUGCUGUUUACCCUUGGGAGCUCUCUGAGCCCAUGCUCCACCCCGGCCAUAUCCGCCCUCUUUACCCAUUCAUUUCUGUCCCCUCUGAGCAGAGGUGAGGGAGGCCACGUCACACAUGCAGUCUCAGCUGGGGUGGCAGCAGCUACCGGGACCCCCUUUCCUUAGAAGCAGUCAGUCAAGUGGGAGUUCCCUUUCUCAGUUCCUGGAUCACAUCUGCUUAUUAAGAAAAAGUAUUUAAGACUUGAAAAUGAGGCAAAAGGUGAUGGCAUGUCAUUUCAGUGUUAACUCAAAAAGAUAACCCCAAAGGUUUCAGUUUAUUAUUCCCUAGGGCAUUAACCAGUUUUGUACUAUUUUGUAUUAACCUAGCACUCAAAUUCUAACAGUCCUUUAUGAAAUUGCUAUAAAUAUCAAUUCCCCAAGUGUUCCUGGAAUUAUAUUACUAUUUCCAUCAUUCAUUAAUGAAUUGAAUGAAGUAUUUGAUGUGCUCAUUUCAAUCCUGUAAUAGUUAUCUAUUGCUGGGUAACAAAUUAUCCCAAAUCUUAGUGGCUUAAACAAAUAAUAAACAUUUGUUAUGUUACACAGCUUCUGUGGGUUGGGAAUUCAAGAGCAUUUUAGUAGAAUGAUCUAGCUUGGGUUCUUUCAUGAGAUUGCAAUCAGCCAGGACUGCAGCCAACUGUAGGAGCCUGGGCGGAUCUGCUCCCCAAGAUGACUCACUUAUGUGGGUGACAAGCCAAUGGUCACUAGUGACAGGAAGCCUCAGUCCUCACCAUGGGGACCUCGCCACACACCUGUGUGAGUUUCCUCAUGACAUGGCAACUGGCUUCCCCCAGAGCAAGUGAUCCAGGAGAGAAUAGGGGAAAGUCACAGCGUCUGCUAAGACCUAGAAGUUACAUCCUGUUGGUCACAUUAGUCAGUGCUAUUCAUUGUGGGAAGAGGUGACACAAGGGCAAGAGUACUGGAGGAUGGGGAUCAUUGGGGGAAGUCUUAGAGGCUGGCUACCAACAUCCUCCCUCUGUUCCCCAGUGAUUCACAUCCUACCCACACACAAAAUGUGCUUAGCCUCUCCCAGGGCCCCCAAUGCAGUAGAGUAUCAGUUUGAAGUCCAGAAUUUCAUUAUCCAAAUUAGAUCCAGAUGUUCUUGAGGCUCCUUAGGUGUAGUUCCUUGAAUCCUCAAAGCCAGGUCUGAAAUUUGUGAACUAGACAAGUUAUCUGCAAUAAUAGGACAAGCAUAGCAUAAUUACUGAAGACCCUCCUGUUCAACAGAGUUGGAAAUUGGGGAUGCACGGAAGUCACUGGUUCAUAGCAAUUCUGAAAUCCAGUAGGGUACAAAUGGACAUUUCCUGGGAAUAAUUUUCCACAGCUCUUGGAUUUACUCUGCAGGCUUUUGGUUUUACCCUCUGAGUCAUCCUUCCUUUUCCUGUAUUUGUGUAGUUUUCUCAGCCUGCUUCUGCCUUGUACAAGUUUCAGGGUCCAAAGACAUCUUUUCAGUUUGUGCUGUCUGUCCCUUUCAGCUCAAGCUGUCAAUGCUUCUUCCAAUAUAAUUCUCUUAAAAACCUUGUGGAUGACCUGUGAAUCUCACUACGGGGGGGGGUGCUCACUCCAUUAGAGAAAAAAAAAAGCUUCACCUACAAAUAGCUCCAAUAUAUGCCCUGAAAGGACAGGGUUGUUGAAGUGCUCAGUCUGUGGCAUUUGUUAUUUGUAUGGCAGCCCGAGCCGACUAAGGCACAGUCACACUCUUGGGUUCAUCUUUAGACCAGAUUUUCCUGAUGGUGCCUGUACUUGAUUUUUACCUAAGAGCCCUUUAAAUUUAACAUCAUUUGCCAUCUGGAGAAGGUGAGAAUUUUCAAAAGCAGGAAGUGCUGCCUCUCUUUUGUUUAACAGUCCUGCCUUUAGCUCAUUUCUCUUGUCUCACUUUUUAUCAGAAGCAGCAAGAAGAAAUCACUCUUCAGUACUCUGCUUGGACCAUCUCCUUUGCUAGACCACCCCAUGCCUAAGGUGAAAAGAAACAAAGGACUCGAAUCGACAUUGCCAAGGCCCACAGAUGGAACUUCAUGAGUCAGGUCUUCUCCUCAUGUGCGUCACCCACCAGAAUCAAAAACACCUUUGCUGGUCCCAGGAGAGAUCUCUCUUCCCACCAAGGACAGAGGCCCCCAGCUCAGUUGGACCUCACUAAGCAGGGGGAGUUUAAGCCUCUGUCACCCGAGACCCGGGGCUUCAGUGGAAAGCUGGCAGCUUGUUGCCUGUGAAGCACCCUCUUCACCUCGGAUGAGAGCGGGGGUGGGGAAUGGAGCUGAAGAAGGUGUGCAGCCUGGUCUCCUUCAAGGAGAGGAAGAGCUGGCUGGUCCUGAUGCAACAAGGACACCCAGGAGCAGGCUAAGUAACUCUUUAUUUUUAUUUGUAUUCACACAAGAAUGUUUAUUAUGGCAUUGUUCAUAGUGACAAAAAAUGAGAAGCAAAGUGAACGUUCAUGAAUGGUUGUAUAAAUUACCCCCACACACACACUACUAAAUGUGAUAUAGCCAUUAAAUAUAUAGAACUCAUAGAGCAGUAUGAAUUUGGAGGACUCUUCAAAAGUAGCAAAGGGACUUCCCUAGUAGUCCAGUGGGUAAGAUUCCAUGCUCCCAAUGCAGGGGACCGGGUUCGAUCCCUGGUCAGGGAAAUAGAUCCCGCAUGCAUGCCGCAACUAAGAGUUUGCAUGCCACAACUAAAGAUCCCACAUGCUGCAACUAAGACCUGGCACAGCCAAAGUAAAUAAAUAAAUAAACAAACAAAUAUUUUUGUAAAAAGAGUAGCAAAAGCAACAUGUAAGAAAUAUGUAAGAGAUGAUGUAAUCUCAUUUUUAAAUAUGGGAAAAUUGGGCUGUUAAUGUGGACUGUUGGGAUGGGAGGGUCUCAUGGGGGAGGAGAAGAAGCAGAAAGCAGAGAUCACAGGGGCUUAAGUAACUUUAAUUAACUUGGACUUUGCUGUAGGGUCAGCAUGUCUUGGAAACUAGAGAUCUCCAAAGUGGGGACCAUGCAUCUCGGGUGGGGUAUGGCGUCAGGAUGACUCACUGGAAUGCAGGAGGACAAUUUUAGAACUUUGCUCUGUACUUAUUUUUGUCUAAUCCCCUAACAUUUCUACUGGGUGUAUGCUUUAUGACGUGCACACUGUGAUUGGAACAGUAGUAAAUAUAUUUAAUUGAUAAAUAAAUACGCAACAUGAAGUGCUUAUGAGACAUUGGAAUAUGAUGAGGUGCAAAGCUUGGGGACCACUGCUGCUCCCACAGCCCUCACAGCCCGCUACACCCACAGCAGAGGGAGGACUCAAGGGAUGUGGACAUUCAGUGGAAACAGCACUUUUUUCACAGGAGCAGGGGGAGAGUCUGCCUGACAUGCAGCAGUAGCGGGGAGGGCAUGCUGCUUGACUCUUCCAGGUGGCCAGGCUGUCUCACAACCAAUGAUGAACCCACGCAGAGCUCACAGAAGACGGAAACCAUUUCUCCGGGCUCUCCUGGGGCCUCCUCUCCUGUGCGCAAAACGUGCCUCCCCAGGAUCCUUCUCGAUCCUUCCGUCCAUCUCCUGGAAGUUCCAGCCCUGGCCUCAUGCUACUUUUGUAGACUAGCCAGUGAGUCCCAUGUGCCUGGACCUCGGAUUCUCCUGAUGAAAACACCAGCAAACUCCUUCCCUGGGCUCAUUGUAGUGCCACCCAUGGGGCUGUCGUGAAGAUUAAUGACUUGGUUCUCAUGACGGGCUUUUAGUAAUGUCACCGUCACUAUUCUCUGGCUGCCUGUUCUGGGACCUGGUAGCCCUCUUAGGGCUCCUGGGUAAACGUUUGCCAUUUGAGUAAAUACAUCCUUCACUCCAUCCUUUCCUGCUGCCCAACUUCUAAUGAAAACACUUCAAAAACAAGGCCUAAAGCACUAUCCUCGCCGGAUGUUUCCAUCUGGGUCUGGUUAGGAGGCAGAAACCACACAAUAAUUUGAACAAGGGAAGUUAACUCUAAGGGAUUAUUCCACAGUGAUAGGAAAGUGGCUAUAAAGGUGGAAAGAGAACUCUAAGGGGUGCCCUAGGGCAGGGAGACAGCCAAGAAAGGGCAGACUUGGAAGGGGGUUCACCAUGGUCGAAGCAGGUGUGGUUGGGGGUCACUGGCUGGGACAGAAGUCCACUGGUGGCCUUGGCCAGAGCUGGCCCAUGUCCCUGGGCAGCAGGAACCUGUGUCUAGAGCACAGGCGAGGGGGGCUUGUAGGUGGGUGCACAGAGGGUUCAAGGCACUGCUGCCCACGUGAGGCUGGGGGAGAACAGCAGUGUCCCCACUGCAGCUGGGUGGUCACCAGCCUGGGCCAAGGCUGCCUGUGUGCUAGGGCAGAGCACCACCGGGCACUCAUGCACGUGUGCGUGCAUACACACAACUGACAGUGCAAUAGAAAUGAAAAAGAGCAAACCCCUCACCCUGAAAUGUGGGAAGAGAACCUGGCCUUUUCCUGCAAUGUCCCUCUCACGCUGUCUUCUGACAAAGUUUUUUUCCUGCAGUGUCCCUCUCACGCUGUCUUCUGACAAAGUUUAGCAUUGCUCUUACAGUAAAGUAGAAAUGCUGAGAGUACACACAGCCCCUUAUCACAGAGCAGGUACUGAAGGGUGAAUUUGGAUCCAAUAGGCAAACAAUUGCUAUCUGGCACACUGGGUAAAAAUCAUGGUAUUUAUCUGCAAGAUAGAAUUAUAUGAAGUAAUUAAAAAUUAUGUUUUAGAAGACUAUUUAAUGCCCUGAGAAAAUUCUCAUGAUAUACUAAGUGAAAAAGCAGAUUACAAAAGCAAUCAAUACAGUGUAAUCCUAAUUUUUAAAAAAAGAGCAAGAAAAAGAGUGAAGAUCUUCAUUUAAAAAAAGAUUCCUGAAUGUCUUCUCCUUUUCCCACUGCCUGUCAACCCCCUCCCAUCCUUCCCCAUGUUUUGGUGAGAGUGAGAAAGUGAGUCAGAGGUCAGGCAGUGUAUUAGAGAACCAAUGAUUUUAAUUCCCUUCCGGUCAUCUGCCUCACCCCUUGCCCAGGAGGAGCUGGGGAAAUGUGCAGGGAAAGUAUUAUGUUACACAGAAUCUCAGCCACUUUCCCUCUCCUUUUUGCUUUCAGAAUUCCCCCAGUGAUAUUGGACUGGCCCCUCCUCAGGCCCAGGAGAACUGGAAAGGAUUGGACCCCGGCUUCAGGAAAGGGUGUGAGAAAAGAUGGUUCCCUUUAUCCCGCAGACCAGCAAGGAUCAGUGGUCUCAUGAAGAAAGGUGGUCCAUGGCUGACGGUGCUGGGUUUCCUGCAGGCGUAACGCAGGAGGGAGCGAGGCCCGUGUUCACAGCCUCCAUCAUCUCUCACCGGCUCUUGUUUACAAAGUGCCAACCCAGGCUGCAUGCUGCUCUGGGCCUUCCUGGAAGGGGUCAUUCAUCUGGGAGGAAAGUAGGGGUCCCUGAGAAUGAUGAAGGGCGAUGGAGGGCGGACACCAGGGCCUCCUACCUCUGUGUUUCCCAGAAGAAGGUCACAAGAUGGCAGGGACCAGCCUGGGUCCAGGGAGCACCUCCUCAGGCAGAAGCUGGUGGAACUUCGGGUUCUGACUCCCAAGUUCAAUGGCACCAGCGACAUGUAGCUCUAACUUGUGACUUCUCCUGCCUCUCUCUGUGUGUGCCCAUGGGGGUGGCCUGAGGAAAUGCCACUGCUUCCUGGCAGUGCUGAGAGCUGCCCUCUGUUUACAUGGAUGAAUCUAGAAUGAAGAUGGCUAAUCACAACAAUGGCUAAUACUUUUGGAAGGCUUACCGUGUGCCGGAAAGAAGUGCUUGUAAUGGAUUAUUUCACUUAAAGCAGUCUUUCAACACGUAUCCUGUGUGCCGGCAAGGUUCUAGGCACUGCAAUGCAGCAGGAUGAAAGAGACAAAAUCCCACGGAUGAACAACAUGUGGUCCGUACACACGACGGGACAGUAUUCAGCCUUAGAGGAAGGGAAUUCAGCCACGUGCUACAACAUAGAUGCACCUUGAGGACGUUGUGAAGGAAAUAAGCCAGAUACAAAAGGACAGAUACUGCAGGAUUCCACUUACAUGAGAACUUCCUUUGAGUCUUUGUCAUCUCGGUCUCCUGCCCUCCCCGUGCUCUUGCUUUUUGCCUGCUGAGUUGUGAGAAUCAAAGAUCAUCACACAGAUGGAAAAAACAGGGAUGCGAGCAGGUGCUGGUGCUGGUGGUUGACCGGUCACAGGGCCAGUGGAUUCUAUCCCCCGUCCCCUACGGACUCAUCCUAUCCUCACAUCCACCGCCUGCCUCUCCGCAGCCCUGUCUCCUCCUAAAGACUGUCUUCAGGGCAUGUCCAGCACAGGUGACUCAUGGUCCCUCCACUGGUGCCAGAUGUCAGCUGUCCCUCGUUCUCUGGCGCCAGCAUUUGUGGGAACAGCCUCUAUGUCUAUCCUGCAUGAACUUGGGAGCAGAACUCAGAAAGCAUCCCCUCACGCAAGAGCAGAAGUCUGCGUAGUAGGAUUUCCAGAAGCUCUCCCAAGGGAGGCGGUGUGGGCGUUUACAUCACAGCAAACUGCUUAAAGAUCCAUUUCAGGUGUUUCGCUUCUCGAAAAGCUUUUUCUAUCUCCCUGUCCCCAGGAAGUGCCCGACCUGGGUGGCGGUCCUCUCCUCUUUCAUUACCAGCGGAGCAGCCCUGCCCAGCCUCCACUCCCAAACUUGCAGAAAACUCUGUACAGACCAUAGUGAAACAAAGAGUGACGGGGUUAACUAGACCUACUUUCAUUUUAAAAGGCCGCUUUAUGAUCAUUUCUGAUAAUCAUGUCAUUCACCAUAAGUGACUUAUCAAAAUAUUUUUUUCAAAGAGAUGUCUCUGCCUAAGAAAAAUAAUAAUUUUUAUUUCACUACUGAGUUUUUAAUUGGAGGUUGUAAACGUCGUGUCAUAUUUAACGCUCAUUAGACUCCCUCCCUUUGGAUUCCAGUAAACAUCACACUGUCUGUUAAUGUGCUCAGGAGAUCCUGUUUGGAUGCCAAGCACUGACCUGGAAAGCUGGCUGGGGCAGGAACUGGUAUGUAGAGGAAGCGUGGAAGAGGGGCCCUUUGGAGGGAGGAAGAGGUGCUACCAGCACACAUCUGGAUGCUGAUUCCACUUCCCUCCUGCCUCCCUUCAGGGCCUUCCCGUUGCUUCCAAGGAAAAGCCCACACCUCUUAGCUAGGUGUGCAAGGCCCCCGCCCACAGUUGAGCAUCAACUGGAAUUUCAGACCUCACCUCCUACCAUUUCUCUGCACCUUAACCAAGCUGAGUAUUCCCGUGUAAUGCCAUUCAUUGGGUGUUCUUAAUGUGGUCCCUUACACUACUGAGCGCUCUAGGGUCUUGUAACAACUGAGGGCACGCCCUGCUCCUGCAGCCCCAUCCCAUCCAUGGAGGGCAAACCUUUAAGCUGCGGCAGGCUAGUCUCCUGGGCCUGGAUCCCUGAGGCUUCCCCACCAGCACGGUUACCUUGGAAACCGUGCAACCCUGCCCCCCACACCCUCGGAGGUGGGCGUGAGUAGCAGGGUCAGAAGCCAUAGUGUCAUUGCGUAUUGAUUCAACCAGGUUGUGGAAAUAAUGGGUUAACACUGGACUGGAUGAGAAUUUGUCCCAGUAACCUGGGCCAUGUUGCCAGGCCUUUGAGGUGCAGCAUGAGUUCUCUUACCCUCAGGCCAUCCCCCGAAUUCCUGGCCUGUCACCACGUACCUUGCAGUGGUGUCUGUCCUGGACCUGCGUCAGAGGCCGAACUCUGUUGCGUCCUGCAGUGAAGCCUGGGUUAGAUGCUGCUGGGGAAGGACCAGAGGAGAAUCAUCUUGGGACCUAACCUCUGGCACUGCCAGACUAAUCAUGAAGGUUCUGGAAGGCCCGUGGGCACUUCGCGAAGCCUGAGGGUUUUGCUGACACCAUGAAUCUCUCUAGCAAACCUUGGCUGAGUCACACAGAGGCUCUGGAUGAACGUUCCCAGCUUCUCUGCCCCUUCCACUGCUGUCCAUGGAGCUCUGCAAACUCAUCUCCCACUUAGGGGUCUUUUCACCCCCUUUCUGCCAGGAGACGCGAAGCCUGUGACUCGGAGAGGUUAAGUGAUUUGCCAGAUCCCACUGUCGACAAAUUCGCUGCAGAAUUGGGAGUGGAAUCCGUCCCUUCUGACGCCUUCCCUCCCCUCCACGGAGUAGACAGGUGCACUCCCUUGGCUGGGGCAGCCCCCGAGACCUCUGGGGCGGGUGGAGUCCAGCCUUGCGACACCCCUGUCUUCGUACCUGGCCUCCUCCCCUCCCCGUCCUCUGGGAACCUGCCUUGUCCAGAGGCAGCCACACACCCUUGUCCCAGGAGAUUUGUCUUUCUGUUGCUUCCACCCGGAGGGCCUGGUUCCACCUCUGGGGGUCAGUACCGUCAUUCUGGUCCUCCUACAGUGACGACAGUCCUCACGGGAACCCAGAGGUCUGUCCUUCUGUUGUCUCUUCUCCAGGUGAAGUAACCCUGCUUCCUGCCUAUGAUUCUGACACCAAUUCCCGUGGGUGUGUUUUUUUUCUCCCACCAAGUAUUUUUUUUUACACCACCAAGCAAUUAACUCAGUUCUGACACUACUUGGAGACAGCGUCAGAUCCCACAGAUGAAGGGCUCAGCCCCACAAGACUGCGCCCCCCAACCUUCAGAUGCCAAUUGCAAGUCCAGGUUGUCAGCGGUGACCCACCAGCUGUCUAGUGGGCAUUCUCACAACCACCUCCUUGGGUUCGAUUAAUUUGCUAGAGCAGCUCAGAAGUCAGACAAGCAUUUUACUUACUAGAUCACUGGUUUAUUAUAAAAGGAUUAACUCAGGAGUCAGAUGGAAGGGAUGCAUAGGGCAAGCAUGGGGAAAGGGGCACAGAGCUUCCAUGCUCUCUCUGGGGGCCGCUCCCCCAAAUCUGUGUUCACCAACCCAGAAGCUCCCCAAACCAUGUCCUUUGGGGUUUUUCUGGAGGUUUCAUUGCGACUGAUUAAAUCGUUGGCCAUUGGUGAUUGACUCAAACUCCAGCUCCGCCCCGCUCCCCAGAGGCUGGGGGAGGGACUGGAAUUUCCAACCCUCCAGGCACCCUAUUCACAUAACAGAGACACCUUUAUGGCUCUCCUCCAGUAGGUAAUCCCAAGGGUUUUGGGAGCUCUGUGCCAGGAGCAGGGACUCAGACCAAAUUUAUAUUUCCUGUUAUAAAUCACAGCAUCACAGUCCUUCAUCGUGGGAAGCCUGGCGUCCAAGGGUCCCCUUCCCCGUCCGUGCGGCUGCCCUGUACUUUCCGACCACCCCAGCGCAGCUGAGCAGGAGAGGAGGCCACCGUGCUUGCGGGUCCAGCUCCGGGAGCCGCCACCACCUGCCAGCGCCACUUCCCCAGCUGUUCCUGUGCUCGGCAGUGUGGCCGGAGCCGAGCCAGCCAGGGUAUGAGCCCUGAGCCGGACGGGGAUCCAGAUCCUGGAAGCAGGAGAGGAGCGGCGGCCAGCGCCUGGCACGGGGGACGGCAACUCCGCCAGCCUGGCUCUGGGAGAAGCGCGAGGACAGCUCUGCUCCUGGAGGAACAUCAGACGCAGCCUGCCUGAGUUCCCAAAGUGAACCCCAGGAAUGCAGAUGAAGAGUAGAAUGCUAACAUGUGGGCUGAUGCCUCCCGCCAGGUACCAGGUUUGUUUUUUUAUUCACCGACUCUGCGCAUCCCUUUUAUCCUUGAGAGCUCAUUCAUGGGGGAAGGUUUGGGCCCAAUUUUAUUUUUCUUCUGCAUGGUCGCUGUGGGCUGUUCUCCAUCCAUUUCCUCAUUAGCAUCCCUGUUCCCCCUUCCCCCAUGCCUCUGCAUCGCUGCUUGGAGGGCGGGUCCGUGGCUUCUAUAAUUCUGUGCUCUCUGCAUGGCAACCAGGUGACUGACCCCUCUUUAAAGCUCAAAGGGCCGUUGCUUAAAGCUUUCUCUGAAAAACAGCGCCCUGCCCAUAGUCGAGCUCAAUGGUUGUUGGAACCAAGGAGAACCUUUGAAGAUGCCCUCUCCUCGCCACUGGCCUCUACAAAGAAACAGACCUUUCUGACCACAGCCUCUCCACGGAGUUUGCCCUACUUAGCUAGCCCGAGGACGGCUGACUCUGAGUCAGCUUCUCCACGGUCUCUGCCUCUCGGCUGUCCUGGUUUAUAUAAUAUUCAGAGUUUGGGCUGUUAGCUAGCUGUCCCCCUUCAGUCUCAGACCUGGGAUUGUGGCCGAGAGAGGUGGGCAGGGCCCAGCCGUUUCCCCAGCUGUGGACACCAUCCCAGAGAAGGCCCCCGUUUUAGCUGCAACACAGCAGAGGGGGACAAGCAAGGACACUGGUGGCCACCAUUCAAUCCAUUUCUUCAAGCCUCAAUUUCUUUAUUGAAUGUGAGGUUGAGAAGCGUGGCCCAUGAAGUCAACCGGGUAAUGAGGUAAACAUCCAGCAUGAUGUGCGUACGUGGUAGGUGGAAUGGGUUGAAUAGUGAGCCCCCCAAAUUCAUGUCCGUCUGGAACCUCAGAAUGUGACCUCAUUUGGAAAUAGGGUCUCUGCAGAUGCAGUUAAGGUAAGGAUGGAGAUGAGAUCGGCCUGGAUUAGGGUGGGUCCUGAGUCCAAUGAGAGUGUCCGUAUAAGAGACAGAAAAAGACACAGGGACACAGAGAAGGCGGCCGUGUGAGGACUAGAGGCAGAAAUGGGAGUGUUGCAGCCACAAGCCAAGGAAUGCCAGGAGCUGCCAGAAGGUGAAAGAGGCCACAGAGGUUCUUCCCUAGAGAGGGUGGCCCUGCUGACACCUUGGCUUUGGGCCUCUGGCCUCCAGACUGUGAGAGAGACAUUUCUGUUGUUUUUAAGCCACCAAGUUCGUGGUGACGUGUUACAGCAGCAACAGGAGACUAAUACAGGAUGUUCUUAAGGGACAGCUAUUACCUUCUUUCUUUUUAGGAGAAGACUGGACUGUUUAGAGACUUGCUGGGAAAGGAGGAGGGGAGGGCAGUUGGAGGGAGGAUCCAGCUGGGGACAGAGGGGCCCGAGGGGGAAGGCUUUGCAGGGCAGGGCAGGGCAGGGUGUGCGAGGGCGGAGGUGCUGGGAAUUAACGCUUUGAGGAGUUGACCUGCCCCUUCCUAUGUUUCCUGCUCCCACCCACACCGACACACUCCCCGGGGAGUAGGGGUGGGGACACAGUGCAUUCCAUAGGUUCAGAAAGUCAGUGGACACCCCAGAGCCCCUGGCCUCCUGAGCCAAGACUGGACGAUGUUCAGAGGUGGCUUAACUGAGUCUGGACCUGCAGUCUCCGCAGGUGAAGGCUGAGCAGCUGGGUGGGGGUGCCCACCUGGCCGUGACCCGCUCGGCUGCCGUGGGGCACAGGUGCCAACGUAGCAGAAGUUGACAGAGGCCCCAGUGCAGUUUGCUAAGUUACAAGGGACCAAACUGCGGGGACCCCUGGUAUUUGGGGUGUGUUUAACCUUUGCAAGCUUCUGGCAAGGGACACGCAGCAGCGCUUACCCGGCACGUCUCUGCGGUGCCUGGGAAGCAAAGCCUGCUGUCUCCAGGUUGUUUCACACGGUGUAGCCUGGGCUCCCGAGCCUGACUUGGUUCCAUCAGGAGGGGAGGUGUGGCCCCCGCUUCCCACACCACGGGGUCAGUUACAUGCAGCUCACUUGUGUCGCUUUUACGGGUCUCAGAAGCCAAGGGCAGUCCGUUCUCUCCCUCAUCCUUGUUACUGUCUCCAUCUUCAAGAGUUUGGUUCUCAAACACUGGACCAGCUUUGAAGAGACGAGGCUGGAAGAACUAAAUCUCCAGUCCCGCCAGAGGGCUACGUGCCGCAGCUCCCGCGCCCGCCGGGGAGAGAGACUAGGGUGCAGCCAUGAGAGGUUGGACCCGGGCCUUCCCUGUCGGGGGCGGCCUGCUCUGACCUCAGCCUUGCUCCCCGGGAGAGCACCCCCAGCACAGCCUCACACGGGGCUGGAGCCCCGGGGCAGCCAGACCUACCGGUGGUUCAUGCGGGAGCUCUCUCAAAGGCAACGGUGAGGCAGGGAAUGCCAGGCAGGAAGGAAUGCUAUCAGAUUCACCUUUUUAAAAAGAUCGUCUUGGGACUUCCCUGGUGGUGCAGUGGUUAGGACUCUGCGCUUCCACUGGAGGGGGCCCGGGUUCCAUCCCUGGUCGGGGAACUAAGAUCCUGUAAGCCGAGUGGCAUGGCCAAAAAAAAAAAAAAAAAGGAACGUCUGUGGGUUUGAGAGAACAGAUGAACAUGGGGGACAGUGGAGGCAGGGGUGCAGGUGAGGGCGAAGCAGAGAGCAGCCUCGAUGAAGACAAAGGUGAGAGCCGGUUCAGAGGUGAACUCGGACCUGAGUCAGCGGACUGCACGUGCGGCAAGGGGGUGAGUUUUCACGCACAGACCCUGCGCGCUCCUGGAUAAAUCAGACCAAGUACACAGCAGGCAUGAGAGAAAAACUUGCUCGGUCCUUCCCCCUAGCGCCCACCCAGAGCCUCACCUGCACCACGUCCUACAUUUCCCACCCCUCCCCCUCCACGCCUGGGUCUGCAGCUCCAGCAGCCAGGCUCCCUCCCCGACUUUUUUUUUUUUCCAGUUGAAAAUACUGCAGAUGUCACCGAUGGGCCAACCCAGACUUGUGACUCUCUAACUCUACGGAAUGUGUAAUUAUAGCAACACAAGCGUCAAAUUACCAAGGACAAGUAGCUGCAAAUAGCACAGAGUGAAGAGCAAAAGCCCUUUUUCACCCCCGGCCCAACCCUGCUUUCCCACAAGCCCAGGAAUAGUCAUUGUUAACAGCAUGUAAUGCCCCGUUCCUAAAUCACAUAAGCAUCCUGUAUCGUGAUUCGUCAGCUUUGUGGAAGACAUUCCUCCCAGGCCUGGUGGUCCUUGAAAAUUCAUUCAGGUUAAGAGGUGGAUACAAGAAAUGGAUUGGAGCCCUUUGUGCACAGGUGGGGCUUGUUAAUUGUUUGGUGAACUGUACUGGAAGAGGAAGGGGUGGUCCGCAGGCUUUUUCCUAUCUUUGGGGCUUACUAUUCUUGGGGGUGUUUCCAUUUCUUUAGUGAAGACUCCUCCAGUUUCCUGACCGGGAGUGUAACCCUGUUUGCUGGCGUUCUGGGACUGGGAAGGAGCAGGGAGCUAAUUGUCUCAGCGGUCUGUGUGCAAACCUUAAAUGAAUUCCCCUAAGUCUGGUCGCGGGACCACCCAUGGCCACCCUCCUCAUGCCUGGCACCUGUGAAUUGGUUCAAGCUCUUAGCACUGCUGGGGGAUGGGUGAAUUGGUUGUGGGACUGGGUGGGGUCAGGAGCUGGGAAUCUAAGCUCUCCUCCUCCUGACUUUCAAACGACCUUCCUGCUUCCACUUCUUCCCUUUCCCUGAAACCACGCCCCCUCCACCACCUGUGCCUCCAGAUCCAGAGGCUUCCUGGGCUUCACGGCCAAUCUGCUUUCUCUGGACCCAACUCACCUCUGUAGGCUCUUAGGUAUGACAUUCCUGCUCCCAGCUUGGUCAUUUCCAUCUGCUUUUUGCCUUCAUUUUGUUCUAAGUUACAAAGAUUCUUUAGUUUCAUCAAAAAUGCAUCCAUAUUUCUGACUUUUUUCCUUUUACUAUUUGGGAUGAAUUUAAGAAGAAAAAAUUGACAGGAAUGUCUUUAUCUGAUAUCUAGAAACUCGUUGGAAACAGUAUUAAGUGAAGAUCACUGAAAGACAUGUAGUCCUUCCAUACAUCUAGAUCAUCUAAAAAAAUUCUUUGAAUUUAGCCUGAGCCACAGAGAGCUGUAUACCUGAAGGCUGUUGCAUUGGCUUCCUGAGUUACUGAGUUGCACAUUAAUGUGAUGCCACCAGCUUGUAAGUCCCAAGGAGCUCAUUGCUGUGUGUCCAGUAAGGAAGCUUUGAAGGACAUUGAUCAUUGAAAUAAACAUUGUUCUCUCAAAAGGAUCCUCAAGAGAAUUUACUUGUCUUAUCUUUGUAUACUGUCCAGUUUUUUAUUAUUAUUAUUAUUUUUAGUUGAGUGAUUGGUUUGCUUUUACUCUUUGGUGUGUGUGUUUCCCUUUUCCCAUUGGCUUCUAGGCAGCUCAGAGCACAAUUUUGGGCUUGCUUUUAGCAAGGAUAUAGAACUUAGUUUUGUGUUCUAGUCUCAUUUUUGUUAGCAUUUUAUCUCCUCCUCUUGUUUACCAUUGCCUUUGUUUUUUCUUCCCCCUCACCCACUCCUAAUUCUUGUCGUGUUGCUCUGUUUUAUAUGUGGGUUGCCAAUAGCUUUAAAUCUUUUUUGUACCAUAGAGUUAUUGAAAUAAGUAAGUAGAAAAUUGAUAAUAGAAAUGAAUGAAUGCAGAAAUAUUCACAAUUUUGUAUUGUUUGAUGUAUGCCCUCUUUAGUUACAGAUUUGGUCAUUUCUUACUAUAGGUCUAAUUUAAUCUUUUCCUUUUAUAGAUGAGGCAAGUGUGGUCUAGAUAAAUUGAUUUAGUCAACAUCAGGUACCUUCAAAUUGUUGUGAUACCGUCACAACCCUCCAUCCAUAGAAUUCUUCGCAUUUUGCAAAACCGAAACUCUGUACCUAUUAAACAAUAACUCUUCAUUCCCCACUCUCAUGGUAACCACCAUUGUACUUUCUGUCUCUAUGAACUUGAGUGCUCUAGAUACCCCCACAUAAGUGGAGUCUACAGUAUUUGUCUUUUUUUGUGUCUGGCUUAUUUUACUUAGUGUAAUGUCUUCAUGCUACUUGUAGUAGCGUGUUUCAGAAUUUCCUCCCUUUUCAAAGCUAAAUAAUAUUCCAUUGUAUGCAUAUACACAUUUUAUUUCUCCAUUCCUCUAUUGAUGGACUUGGGUGGCUUCCGUUUUUUGCCUGUUGUGAGUAAUGCUGCUGUGAACAUGUGUGUACAGAUACUCUUCCUGUGUUGCCCCUUUACAGCCACACCCACCUCCCUCCCCCACCCCCUCAUUAACCACUGGCAACCCCUAAUCUGUUAUCAUUUCAACAGUGUUGUAGAAAUGCAGUCAUACAGUGUAUAACGUUUUGGGAUUGGCUUUUUCACUUUGAAGAAUUCCCUGGAGAUUCAUCCAAUGCUUACAAUACUGGAAUGACCAGUCUUGGGCAUGUGUCCUUGGAGACAUGGGCAAAAGCAUCUAAUAUCGAAAGUUCUAUACUCAAGAAGGGUCAUAGGUCAUGAGAAUAUUCAACUUUACUAGAUAUUGCCAAGGUUCUAUCCAAGGAAGAUGCUACCAGUUUAUACUCCCACCAGCAAUUUAUGAGACUUCCUUUUCCUCCACAUCAAAGAAUCCGAUUUUUGUUCUGAGAAGAUCACUCUGGCUGCAAAGUUAAAAGUCAAGUGCUCCACUGCCCAGAGCCCUCUUUGACUGAUGACCUUACUGCCCCCGCCAUCACAAGCUGCAAUCUGCUGGGACACAAGGUGGCUGAAAUGGUGGGGCUGGGGUGGUGGAAGCCCCUCCCCCCACUAACUAGAUCAAUUUCCGCACGUGGAUGCCUGCGUGGGACCGUCCAGUGUUGUAAGCUCCUUGAAGGCAGGCGCUAUUCCUGCUACAUGUAUCAGCCUAAAGUUCCUAGAAUAAGGCUGGGCACACACGAGAAACUCAAGAAGAGCUUCAUUCACGGAUUGUUUGGGUCAUCGUGGUAACACCACUAAAGAAUAUUCUGGUAAUGAGGGAAGAUGUGUAAAGAUGUUCAUUAGUUAUGCCCAUUUUAGAGCAUCGUUUGCUCCAGAGACAAUGGAAUGAAAAGGGAUAUUUCUGACCCUGAAGAGUCCUCCAGGUGACCUGUGUCUAUUUUCUUCUUCUGUGGGGAAGAACGUGGGCAGAGGGGGGACAUGGGGCACCUUCACCCGGUGACUCUCUAUGCCCAAAGAGCCAAAGAGGCCCUAGGUGAUGACAGAUUUUUAAAAUAUACUGUUGUUGUCCUUUACUGCCCAGGGGACCUUAAGUCAGGUAUAAAGCCCAGGGUGGGAUGUGAAGGCCAUUUCUUGUGCCAGUCUCUUCUGGAGCACGAUAGACUCAAACCUAGGAUGGUCCCUGGUUAUGUCAGCAAUACAGGCAAAGAAAGCCCAAGAAAAAUCAACCUUUGUCUCAAGGCCAAAGUUUUUUUCUUCCUCAAAUUCUUUCACAGGGACUUCCCUGGUGGCACAGUGGUUAAGAAUCCACCUGCGAAUGCAGGGGACACAGGUUUGAUCCCUGGUCCAGGAAGAUCCCACAUGCCAUGGAGCAACUAAGCCCGUGAGCCAUAACUACUGAGCCCGCGUGCCACAACUACUGAAGCCCACGUGCCUAGAGCCCACGCUCCACAACAAGAGAAGCCACUGCAAUGAGAAACUCGCACACCGCAACAAAGAGUAGCCCCCGCUCGACGCAACUAGAGAAAGCCUGUGUGCAGCAACGAAGACCCAACACAGCCAAAAAUAAAUAUAUUUUUUAAAAAAUUCUUGCACAUGGGCGUACACGCGAGUAUACACACACACAUACACACACACACUUAAAAAGAAAGGAGAAAGAGGGUGAAGAUGGCUUUGGAGUCCAGGUUAGCCUGUGAGCCGUCACAGUGUUAUCACACAGGAGACAGCUGCUUGUGACUAUGGCAACUUGGACCCCGAGGGAGGAGUGUGAAAUGGAAGGAAUAUUAAUCACGCUGGUGGGGGGAAGAUGCAGGAGUGACAGGAGGGUCUGAGAUGGUUGGGUAAGGUUGGCUCUGGGUGCGUCUUUGGAAAAAGCACAUCAUGUCUUUUAGGUUUCCUGUCUCUUCCUUCAGAGCCCCUCUUUUCUUCCUGGAUGCCCAUCCUAAGUCCUAGGGCAGAAGCUCCUCUAGAACUAGGGGUGUGGUGGGCAAAAGACAGGAGGCUGAGCCCAGUCAUCCUCAAACACCAACUCUUUGUGUUUAUGAAUGACCUGUUAGAAAUGUCCCAACUUAGUCACCUUCUCUCACUCAGACAUUUCUGAGAAGGGUGAGUAAGCACAGUAAAUUCUUCUCUCAGUGGAUUUAAAUUGCUUAUAAAGUGUCACAUCCACUACUUCAGUUCAGUCAGCAAUUCUGACCAUAAGGGUUAAUAUUGUAGUGUGUUUAUUUUCAUGCCACGCCCUUGACUCAGGUGUAGGGAGAAGUAGCUUGUCCAGGUUCACACAAAGAGGAAACUUCAGAGCACUGCGAUUCUGCUUGCUUCAACAAGCACAGUGUGUAUGUGUGUGACCAGGGAGCAUUGGAGCUCUGCUGACUUUUAUUUGGUUGAAUUCCCUUGUGUCUGCAUGGUCUGAAUGUCAGUGACUGAAACGCAUUUACAAGAGAGCAGGUUGCAGUAACUGUACUUGCACUUCCUAACUUAUAUAGGACAUGACGGUUUUGUUUGUUCCAAAUAAACUCUUCACAGUAUCCUGCAGAUAAAACGCGUCCCUAUUGUGUGCAUUUCUAUUUGUGUGGGAAGAUGAUAUUGUGAAAUAUUAACAUAAUCUUGCUCCUCACAAAGACACACGUGCACCUGGUACCCCAUGGCACUACCCUGAUGGAGGGUAACAGAAAACAGGCCUUUCCCAAAAUAGGGUUGCCAGACUUAGCAAGUAAAUAUACAGGAUACCCAGUUCAAUCUGAA
Molecule: long non-coding RNA, 17716 nt
Organism: Orcinus orca (killer whale)
Lineage: Eukaryota; Metazoa; Chordata; Mammalia; Artiodactyla; Delphinidae
Exons: 14
Source: RefSeq, a predicted model, not a curated record